GGGAAACUCACUCAAGGUCAAAAACUUUGUGAGGAGCAGAGCUCAUAAGAGCCCGCGGUCUCCAGAACCCCACAACAACAUCUGAAAAUAUGAGAGCAGCCGCCUCACCCGCAACAGGGGGAGCCCCUCCUGCCACCAGGGGACCGUCGCCGCCCCUCGCGAGAAGCUGCAGGCGUGGGGGGAGGCGAGGCAGGAUGGCUCGGUGGGCGGUGCCCGGGGCGGGGUCGGCCGUGCCUGGGCGGGGCCGGGUGGGAGGGGCAGUGCAUAAGGCC
Molecule: long non-coding RNA, 272 nt
Filed under: Homo sapiens (human)
Lineage: Eukaryota; Metazoa; Chordata; Mammalia; Primates; Hominidae
Description: KLC2 antisense RNA 2 (KLC2-AS2)
Source: RNAcentral